CGAUCAACGGCUAAGAUUAAAUCAUCCUUUUCUUCCCUUUUAAACAAAAGCAAGACCAAACCCUAACAUAUUCUACAAACAAACGCAUCUACCUUCACUCUCAUCUCUCUCUGCCAGCAGCCAUGGCUGCCGCUGACCGCCACCUCUUCCACCACAGGCGCAACCAUGGCUGGCGAAGCCUCCUCUCUCCCUAUACCCUUCUUUUCUCUCUCUUUGUUUCCCACCGGAGAAACGAGCCACCAUCACCAACAGCCCUCUUCGUCAGCCUCCACCGUUCUCCGGCCAACAGACGCUACAGCUCCCGCCAGCCCAUCCAACCGCUGCUACCGGCGUAAAUAGCGGUAAGCGGCGCAUCCCUCAAUGCCAGAGUAGCCGACGCCUCUCAACCAACGAACCCCAUGCUGCCACCAUCGACCAAAAUAGCCGCCAACACCCAAUUCGCCCUGGCUAUCAACACGGACAAAGACAACCAGCGGGCACUGUCUGGUUUAAACUUUGCCAAAAAAUAUUGCAAUUAAUGACAGAUUGAAUCCGUCCCAGCAUCAAGCAAUUUAGUACAAGCGGCCUCUUGUGGUGGAGAGGUCUUGCUCGGCUGUUGGAAGUUAAAGGAUUUGUUAAAUGUUGAACGCUCAUCUCAAGAAGACAACCAAGAGGAUGAAAGUGAUGAUGACUCUGACGAUGUGAAUGAAAGUGAUUCUAAUCUUGAUAAUAUGGAUGGAAGUGAUUCUGACCUUGAUGGUUGGUAGUUUUAUUGAGGAUUCAAGUUUGAAAUAUUUUAUUUUGGACUAUUUAAGAAUCAUACGUUAUUGAUAUGGAUGUUUUGAAAUAUGUUUUUGUUAGCUGUAAUGAUUUACAUUAUACUUGUAUUGAAUGAUGUUUUUGUGACUUAUUGAAGGGUUUGAAUAAAUUUUUGAUUAAUUGUGAA
Molecule: long non-coding RNA, 925 nt
Organism: Capsicum annuum
Lineage: Eukaryota; Viridiplantae; Streptophyta; Magnoliopsida; Solanales; Solanaceae
Exons: 2
Source: RefSeq, a predicted model, not a curated record